CCUUCAUAUUUAUAGGAAAUACCUAAAAUUGAAACCAUUUUCAGGCAGCAAGUCCUCUUCAUGUAUGGAAAGGUUAUGAAAAGCAAAGAUUGCAGAAUUCCAGCCCUAUUAGGUCAACCUACCUCAGACAUUAUAACCCAAGGAACUCCUCCCAUGCCCAAUGAGAAUGAUCCUAUAUAUAUCUGAGUACACAAUUCAACAGAUCAAUAUAUAUAUACAAGGCAUUUCCUCUAAAAAUAUGUAAUUAGAUGAAGUUUGAAAUGAGGCAAUGGUAAACAAGCUUGAGGCAACAUUUCAAUGUUACAGCCAAUAUCAUUAUAAAGUUAGCAACAAAAAUAAGGAACAACAAACACCGGGUAAUGAAUGGAUUGAUCCAAUCGGUAAAGUGGUAUUUUUCUGAGAAAGAAAGUCAAUACCAUUUAAAGAAUGGAAAAGACUUUCCAAAAACAUUACCAAAUCAUGCAGUAGUUUUUUCUGCCAAUUCUAAUCCAGUCAAAACAUGAUAACAGAACAUUUCAUCAAAAAGAUUCAUUUAGUUCCAUAUGAAGAACACAAUGUAUGAAAACGGAUACACUAUCUCCUUGUUUGAAAACUAGAAUUUUACAAGAAUUCAGUUCAAUUCAAUUAAUUUCUUAAUUCUUAUGUUUAGAAUGUAAGAAUUUAAUUCUUUUUAACUUA
This 678-nucleotide unclassified non-coding RNA is filed under the name Hevea brasiliensis (rubber tree). Lineage: Eukaryota; Viridiplantae; Streptophyta; Magnoliopsida; Malpighiales; Euphorbiaceae. The record is from RNAcentral.